Molecule: ribosomal RNA, 648 nt
Filed under: Paenibacillus provencensis
Lineage: Bacteria; Bacillati; Bacillota; Bacilli; Caryophanales; Paenibacillaceae
Description: bacterial SSU rRNA
Rfam family: Bacterial small subunit ribosomal RNA
Source: RNAcentral
AGCGGCGGACGGGUGAGUAACACGUAGGUAACCUGCCCAUAAGACUGGGAUAACUACCGGAAACGGUAGCUAAUACCGGAUAGGUUCUUCUCUCGCAUGGGAGGRGAAAGAAAGACGGAGCAAUCUGUCACUUAUGGAUGGACCUGCGGCGCAUUAGCUAGUUGGUGAGGUAACGGCUCACCAAGGCGACGAUGCGUAGCCGACCUGAGAGGGUGAUCGGCCACACUGGGACUGAGACACGGCCCAGACUCCUACGGGAGGCAGCAGUAGGGAAUCUUCCGCAAUGGGCGAAAGCCUGACGGAGCAACGCCGCGUGAGUGAUGAAGGUUUUCGGAUCGUAAAGCUCUGUUGCCAGGGAAGAACGUCUCUUAGAGUAACUGCUAAGAGAGUGACGGUACCUGAGAAGAAAGCCCCGGCUAACUACGUGCCAGCAGCCGCGGUAAUACGUAGGGGGCAAGCGUUGUCCGGAAUUAUUGGGCGUAAAGCGCGCGCAGGCGGUCAUUUAAGUUGGGUGUUUAACCCCAGGGCUCAACCCUGGGUCGCACCCAAAACUGGAUGACUUGAGUGCAGAAGAGGAGAGUGGAAUUCCACGUGUAGCGGUGAAAUGCGUAGAGAUGUGGAGGAACACCAGUGGCGAAGGCGACUCUC